AUACCGCCAUAAAAAUAAGAAAAUCGCUACAAUGGUUAAGUCACACAGCCCUUCCUCUAAAAAUGAUUAUAUCUGAAAAAAGGAACAGAUCUGUAGAGACUUUUAAUAUAUUAGACGUAAAAAAGGAGGGAGGAGGGAUAGAAGACGAAAAAAACAGAGAAGAGUCGUAGUGUACUCGUAAAAACAGACAAUACCAGUCGGAAGACAUGAAAUAUCUAUAAAUGGAGAAAGAGAAGAUUACGAUGUAUUGUCGUAAAUCGACCGCGGUAAACCGCGCGAUAUUCUAAUUUUUUUAAGGUUAAAAACCGUCCGGACUCCGUCUCUCUCGUUUCACGCCGAUCGUUUUUGGCAUUAUAUAAAUAAAAUAUACGACUACACAUAUUAUUAGAUAGAUACCCAUAUUUUUACUUUUUUGUCGGACACACGAGUAUAUAGAGACACCCCUCUCUCGGCAAAACAUCACUGCGCGCAUUAUUCCAAACACGUCCGCCGCUUUACGAUUGUAAUGAGUUAUUUGUUCCCCAUCAUAAUAAUAAUAAUAUUCUCUACUGCAGCAAUCUCUUGUAUUAUUUUUUUUUUUGUUGUUUUUGGUCAUAUAUAAUAUACUCGUACAUUUUUUUUCUCUAUUCUUCUUCUUUCCAAAUUUUUCUCCUACACCGCUGCACAUGCUAUAGUAGGUACAACAAAAGAAGAUAAUUUACAGAAAACGGGAACGCGAACACACGUGCAUUGCCGUUGCGUAUUAACGGACAUUUUUCCUGAACGUUAGCCAAGCAUAAUAUAAUAAUAAUAUUGCACCGUAGAUAUAGUUUU
Non-coding RNA from Cinara cedri, 813 nucleotides. The record is from the annotation of a GenBank genome assembly. Lineage: Eukaryota; Metazoa; Arthropoda; Insecta; Hemiptera; Aphididae.